Molecule: long non-coding RNA, 665 nt
Filed under: Cyanistes caeruleus (blue tit)
Lineage: Eukaryota; Metazoa; Chordata; Aves; Passeriformes; Paridae
Description: lncRNA (ENSCCEG00000014629.1)
Source: RNAcentral
AAAUCCAUAGAUUUAUUAUAUAUUCCAGGUUUACAGCUGCUUGGACUUUCUCUAUCAUAGAUAAAGUUUUUUAUUUCUUCACAUGAUAGGUAUUUUAGUUUCCCGGGGGACUAAUGUCAAACAGAGUACACACCAACAAGACCAAAAGCAGCCAAAGUAAUUUUUAAUCAGAAAGCUUGUGAGAGUGUGGGGGAACUGGAAAAAGACAGGAGACAGUUGUAUCCCCGAAGUGGAGCACCAACAGAUGUGUCAGUUCCUGUUGCCUUUGACUGUACAUGAUAACAUUCCAUCCAUCCUGAUGUUUGUAAACAGAUACUUGGAUAUCCAGCCAGCCUAAAUCUCUGCCACAGCCCACAGAAAUAGCCUAUGCAGAAGUAAUCCCAUAAAAUAGCUGACACAGCCAAGAGGAGGUCCCUGUUAAGAAGUGGCAGCUCAUAGCUGCCUACAGGACUGAAGCCAUCAAGCCCCAUCCAUUUAUCUGCAAUGGAGAAAUAGCUGGAAAGGAUAGGCUGGGUCAGGUAGGCAAGGAUUACAAUAGUAAGAUUAUUGUCUUUGAUGUGUACAUAUUUCAGUGGUUUCAACAAAAUAUUGUCAUGACUGUUUACCUACUCAUAUGUUGGGACUGCCUCAUUUAUUUUUCUCACACCUGAUAAUUUUAAUGAAGC